UACGGAGGGUGCGAGCGUUAUUCGGAAUUAUUGGGCGUAAAGAGUGUGUAGGCGGCCGGUUAAGUCAGGUGUGAAAGCCCGGGGCUCAACCUCGGAAGUGCACUUGAAACUGGUCGGCUUGAGUUCGGGAGAGGGAAGCAGAAUUCCUGGUGUAGAGGUGAAAUUCGUAGAUAUCAGGAGGAACAUCGGUGGCGAAGGCGGCUUCCUGGACCGAAACUGACGCUGAGACACGAAAGCGUGGGGAGCAAACAGG
Molecule: ribosomal RNA, 253 nt
Filed under: uncultured bacterium
Lineage: Bacteria
Description: partial 16S ribosomal RNA
Rfam family: Bacterial small subunit ribosomal RNA
Source: RNAcentral